This 501-nucleotide ribosomal RNA is filed under the name uncultured bacterium. RNAcentral describes it as "partial 16S ribosomal RNA". It matches the Rfam family "Bacterial small subunit ribosomal RNA", at positions 30 to 523 of the family's 1533-position model. The record is from RNAcentral.
AUUGAACGCUGGCGGCAUGCUUUACACAUGCAAGUCGAACGGUAACAGGGUGCUUGCACCGCUGACGAGUGGCGAACGGGUGAGUAAUGCGUCGGAACGUGCCGAGUAGUGGGGGAUAACGCAGCGAAAGUUGUGCUAAUACCGCGUACGUACUGAGGUAGAAAGUGGGGGACCUUCGGGCCUCACGCUAUUCGAGCGGCCGACGUCCCAUUAGCUAGUUGGCGGGGUAAAAGCCCACCAAGGCGACGAUGGGUAGCUGGUCUGAGAGGAUGAUCAGCCACACUGGAACUGAGACACGGUCCAGACUCCUACGGGAGGCAGCAGUGGGGAAUUUUGCACAAUGGGGGAAACCCUGAUGCAGCAACGCCGCGUGAGUGAAGAAGGCCCUUGGGUUGUAAAGCUCUUUCGGCCGGGAAAAAGGAUCUACGUACUAAUACUCCGUAGGUUUGAUGGUACCGGAAGAAGAAGCACCUGCUAACUACGUGCCAGCCGCCGCCGUAA